Molecule: ribosomal RNA, 301 nt
Filed under: uncultured bacterium
Lineage: Bacteria
Description: partial 16S ribosomal RNA
Rfam family: Bacterial small subunit ribosomal RNA
Source: RNAcentral
CAGCCGCCGCGGUAAAACGUAGGUGGCAAGCGUUAUCCGGAAUUAUUGGGCGUAAAGCGCGCGUAGGCGGUUUUUUAAGUCUGAUGUGAAAGCCCACGGCUCAACCGUGGAGGGUCAUUGGAAACUGGAAAACUUGAGUGCAGAAGAGGAAAGUGGAAUUCCAUGUGUAGCGGUGAAAUGCGCAGAGAUAUGGAGGAACACCAGUGGCGAAGGCGACUUUCUGGUCUGUAACUGACGCUGAUGUGCGAAAGCGUGGGGAUCAAACAGGAUUAGAUACCCCAGUAGUCCCUGUCUCUUAUAC